RNAcentral lists this ribosomal RNA (468 nucleotides) under uncultured bacterium. Its description in RNAcentral is "partial 16S ribosomal RNA". It matches the Rfam family "Bacterial small subunit ribosomal RNA", at positions 28 to 507 of the family's 1533-position model. The record is from RNAcentral.
GACGAACGCUGGCGGCGUGCUUAACACAUGCAAGUCGAACGGAAAGGCCCUGCUUUUGUGGUGUGCUCAAGUGGCGAACGGGUGAGUAACACGUGAGUAACCUGCCCUUGACUUUGGGAUAACUUCAGGAAACUGGGGCUAAUACCGGAUAGGAGCUCCUGCUGCAUGGUGGGGGUUGGAAAGUUUCGGCGGUUGGGGAUGGACUCGCGGCUUAUCAGCUUGUUGGUGGGGUAGUGGCUUACCAAGGCUUUGACGGGUAGCCGGCCUGAGAGGGUGACCGGCCACAUUGGGACUGAGAUACGGCCCAGACUCCUACGGGAGGCAGCAGUGGGGAAUAUUGCACAAUGGGCGGAAGCCUGAUGCAGCAACGCCGCGUGCGGGAUGACGGCCUUCGGGUUGUAAACCGCUUUCGCCUGUGACGAAGCGUGAGUGACGGUAAUGGGUAAAGAAGCACCGGCUAACUACGUG